This 497-nucleotide ribosomal RNA is filed under the name uncultured bacterium. Its description in RNAcentral is "partial 16S ribosomal RNA". It matches the Rfam family "Bacterial small subunit ribosomal RNA", at positions 28 to 507 of the family's 1533-position model. The record is from RNAcentral.
GAUGAACGCUGGCGGCGUGCCUAAUACAUGCAAGUCGAGCGAACAGACGAGGAGCUUGCUCCUCUGACGUUAGCGGCGGACGGGUGAGUAACACGUGGAUAACCUACCUAUAAGACUGGGAUAACUUCGGGAAACCGGAGCUAAUACCGGAUAAUAUAUUGAACCGCAUGGUUCAAUAGUGAAAGACGGUUUUGCUGUCACUUAUAGAUGGAUCCGCGCCGCAUUAGCUAGUUGGUAAGGUAACGGCUUACCAAGGCGACGAUGCGUAGCCGACCUGAGAGGGUGAUCGGCCACACUGGAACUGAGACACGGUCCAGACUCCUACGGGAGGCAGCAGUAGGGAAUCUUCCGCAAUGGGCGAAAGCCUGACGGAGCAACGCCGCGUGAGUGAUGAAGGUCUUCGGAUCGUAAAACUCUGUUAUUAGGGAAGAACUAAUGUGUAAGUAACUAUGCACGUCUUGACGGUACCUAAUCAGAAAGCCACGGCUAACUACGUG